This 1650-nucleotide unclassified non-coding RNA is filed under the name Hevea brasiliensis (rubber tree). The record is from RNAcentral. Lineage: Eukaryota; Viridiplantae; Streptophyta; Magnoliopsida; Malpighiales; Euphorbiaceae.
CAGAAACACUCUCAAAAGCCUGUUGAAGAAAUGAUGAGGAAUCUUAAAGUUGAUGAAGCUUCCGUAGAACUCACCGAUUCUAAUAUGGUUCCUUCAAAGGAUGGGAGCCCUUCAGAUGCAACGUCAUGUAUUUCAUCCACAGGAGAUGCAACAGUUAGUGUCAAGGAAGGCGAUGUAGAUCGUGAAUCCUUGACAACUGCCCAAGGCUUGCCAAAUCCAUCAUGUGGCUACUAUGGAUAUUUCUAUCCAGGUUAUGAUGGCACUUUUGGAGGGCUGGACGACCAAGCAUACUAUGUGGCUUGUGAUGGAAUGCAACUUCAAUAUCCAGUCAUGCAAGCAGAUAAUGGAUCUUUGAUCUACUUAAUGCCAGGAAUACACCCAGGUUACAGUCCAUACUUACCUGUAAACAUGUUUGGCAUAGAUGGACAGCAUGUUGUCCAACAACCAUUUCCUUCAAACCCCAUGUUACAACCAUCAAUUGCCCCUGGAUAUAUUCCAACUCCUUUUCUAGUGCCACCGCCCUACCUGUGGGAUCCAUCUGUUUAUGUUGGGGAGGGAGCAUAUGGAAAUGGCUAUAGUGGAAUUGUGGAAAUUUCUGGCUCUAAACCUAACAUGUCAUCUCACAGUCAUACCCAUGCUCAUUCAAAAAAUUUAUGGACUCCUGACUUUAGUGAUUCACUAGAAAAUAAGAGCUCCCUUCCGACAUUAGAUGCAUCAUCUGGUCAUGGCAUGCAUAACCAGUUAAAAUCAGUGGCCAAGUCAGAUGUAUCACUUGAAGGUUAUUUUCCAUUGGCCAAGUUUCCACCAUAUAAUCAAGGGAAGGGUGGAGUGCUCUAUCCAAACACCCCUGUUAAAGCAAGUGCAAGGGGUUGGAGCAACACUGAAAAGCCAAAAGCAAGAAGCAAGAUUGGUAACAUUAGCGAUUUUGGCUUCCUCAAUGAGCAGAAUUAUGGUCCUAGGACAACUAAUGCUAAGGGUUCUUUUACUUUUGGAGGUAAUGCUGCUGGAUCUUUGGAUACUGACGGGAACGGAAACAGUAACAGCCUAACUUCUGUAAUUAGGAGGGAUCAAUAUAACCUUCCUGAUUUUCCAACCAAAUACGAUCAUGCGUUUUUCUUUGUUAUCAAAUCUUACAGUGAAGAUGAUAUUCAUAAGAGCAUCAAGUACAAUGUGUGGGCCAGUACCCCUAAUGGAAAUAAGAGACUGGAUAGUGCAUAUCAAGAUGCACAAGAGAAAAUGGCAGAGAAAGGCAGCAAUUGUCCUGUGUUCCUUUUCUUUUCAGUAAAUGCAAGUGGCCAGUUCUGUGGAGUAGCCGAGAUGAUUGGCCGAGUGGAUUUCAAUAAGAAAAUGGAUUUCUGGCAACAGGACAAAUGGAAUGGUUAUUUCCCAGUCAAGUGGCACAUUAUUAAAGAUGUUCCAAACCCACAAUUACGGCAUAUAAUACUUGAGAACAAUGAGAACAAGCCUAUUACUAAUAGUAGAGACACACAGGAGGUCAGAUUUCCACAGGGUAUGGAAAUGUUAAAUGUAUUUAAGAACUAUGUUUCCAAAACAUCUAUAUUGGAUGAUUUUGAUUUUUAUGAAAGCCGCCAAAAGGUGAUGCAAGAGAAAAGGCUCAGGUCAUUGGUGACCCAUUUGGAUCAUAAUCAG